RNAcentral lists this ribosomal RNA (337 nucleotides) under Belisana sp. SL37. Its description in RNAcentral is "bacterial SSU rRNA". Lineage: Eukaryota; Metazoa; Arthropoda; Arachnida; Araneae; Pholcidae. The record is from RNAcentral.
UUAGAUGUCCGGGGCCGCACGCGCGCUACACUGAAGGAAUCAGCGUGUGCUCUCCCUGUCCGGUAGGACUGGGUAAUCAGUUGAACCUCUUUCGUGAUAGGGAUAGGGGCUUGUAAUUGUUCCCCUUGAACGAGGAAUUCCCAGUAAGCAUGAGUCAUAAGCUCGUGUUGACUASGUCCCUGCCCUUUGUACUCACCGCCCGUCGCUGCUACCGAUUGAAUGAUUUAGUGAGGUCUUUGGACUGGUGCCCGUGCCCGGUCUUCCGACUGGGUCGUGGUGCUGGAAAGAUGACCGAACUUGAYCAUUUAGAGGAAGUAAAAGUCGUAACAAGGUAUCC